RNAcentral lists this unclassified non-coding RNA (380 nucleotides) under soil metagenome. Its description in RNAcentral is "partial contains 5.8S ribosomal RNA, internal transcribed spacer 2, and large subunit ribosomal RNA". The stretch from base 1 to 120 matches the Rfam family "5.8S ribosomal RNA", at positions 35 to 154 of the family's 154-position model. The record is from RNAcentral.
GAUGAAGAACGUAGCGAAAUGCGAUAAGUAAUGUGAAUUGCAGAAUUCAGUGAAUCAUCGAAUCUUUGAACGCACCUUGCACCCUUUGGUAUUCCGAAGGGUAUGCUCGUUUGAGUGUCAUUGUACUCUCACACUUCCGAUCGUUUGGAUCGGGAGCGGUGGACUUGGGUGUUGCUGCUUUACUGUGGCUCACCUUAAAUGCAUUAGUGCACCUUUCGGUUGGACAUAGUACGGCGUGAUAAGUGUCUUCGCCGGCACCUCACAGAGGGUGGCUGAUCGGGAGCUCUGUGCUUCAAACCGUCCUCGGAAAACAGCUGACAACUUGACCUCAAAUCGAGUAGGACUACCCGCUGAACUUAAGCAUAUCAAUAAGCGGAGGA